RNAcentral lists this transfer RNA (68 nucleotides) under Lactobacillus gasseri. It matches the Rfam family "tRNA". From Rfam's summary of the family: Transfer RNA (tRNA) molecules are approximately 80 nucleotides in length. The record is from RNAcentral. Lineage: Bacteria; Bacillati; Bacillota; Bacilli; Lactobacillales; Lactobacillaceae. RNAcentral also lists the same sequence under 13 other names.
GAAGUGGCUCAGUUUGGUAGAGCACCUGGUUUGGGACCAGGGGGUCGCAGGUUCGAAUCCUGUCUUCC